RNAcentral lists this ribosomal RNA (749 nucleotides) under uncultured bacterium. RNAcentral describes it as "bacterial SSU rRNA". It matches the Rfam family "Bacterial small subunit ribosomal RNA", at positions 50 to 786 of the family's 1533-position model. The record is from RNAcentral.
UACACAUGCAAGUCGAGGGGAAACGACAUCGAAAGCUUGCUUUUGAUGGGCGUCGACCGGCGCACGGGUGAGUAACGCGUAUCCAACCUGCCCACCACUUGGGGAUAACCUUGCGAAAGUAAGACUAAUACCCAAUGAUAUCUCUAGAAGACAUCUGAAGGAGAUUAAAGAUUUAUCGGUGAUGGAUGGGGAUGCGUCUGAUUAGCUUGUUGGCGGGGUAACGGCCCACCAAGGCUACGAUCAGUAGGGGUUCUGAGAGGAAGGUCCCCCACAUUGGAACUGAGACACGGUCCAAACUCCUACGGGAGGCAGCAGUGAGGAAUAUUGGUCAAUGGACGAGAGUCUGAACCAGCCAAGUAGCGUGCAGGAUGACGGCCCUAUGGGUUGUAAACUGCUUUUAUAAGGGAAUAAAGUGAGUCUCGUGAGACUUUUUGCAUGUACCUUAUGAAUAAGGACCGGCUAAUUCCGUGCCAGCAGCCGCGGUAAUACGGAAGGUCCGGGCGUUAUCCGGAUUUAUUGGGUUUAAAGGGAGCGUAGGCCGGAGACUAAGCGUGUUGUGAAAUGUAGAUGCUCAACAUCUGCACUGCAGCGCGAACUGGUUUCCUUGAGUACGCACAAAGUGGGCGGAAUUCGUGGUGUAGCGGUGAAAUGCUUAGAUAUCACGAAGAACUCCGAUUGCGAAGGCAGCUCACUGGAGCGCAACUGACGCUGAAGCUCGAAAGUGCGGGUAUCGAACAGGAUUAGAUACC